Molecule: ribosomal RNA, 598 nt
Filed under: Staphylococcus aureus
Lineage: Bacteria; Bacillati; Bacillota; Bacilli; Caryophanales; Staphylococcaceae
Description: partial 23S ribosomal RNA
Rfam family: Bacterial large subunit ribosomal RNA
Source: RNAcentral
UAAGGGCGCACGGUGGAUGCCUUGGCACUAGAAGCCGAUGAAGGACGUUACUAACGACGAUAUGCUUUGGGGAGCUGUAAGUAAGCUUUGAUCCAGAGAUUUCCGAAUGGGGAAACCCAGCAUGAGUUAUGUCAUGUUAUCGAUAUGUGAAUACAUAGCAUAUCAGAAGGCACACCCGGAGAACUGAAACAUCUUAGUACCCGGAGGAAGAGAAAGAAAAUUCGAUUCCCUUAGUAGCGGCGAGCGAAACGGGAAGAGCCCAAACCAACAAGCUUGCUUGUUGGGGUUGUAGGACACUCUAUACGGAGUUACAAAGGACGACAUUAGACGAAUCAUCUGGAAAGAUGAAUCAAAGAAGGUAAUAAUCCUGUAGUCGAAAAUGUUGUCUCUCUUGAGUGGAUCCUGAGUACGACGGAGCACGUGAAAUUCCGUCGGAAUCUGGGAGGACCAUCUCCUAAGGCUAAAUACUCUCUAGUGACCGAUAGUGAACCAGUACCGUGAGGGAAAGGUGAAAAGCACCCCGGGAGGGGAGUGAAAUAGAACCUGAAACCGUGUGCUUACAAGUAGUCAGAGCCCGUUAAUGGGUGAUGGCGUGCCU